AGGUUGACACAGCUGACUCUACCCUUGACACAGAUGAAGGAAUCCUUUGGAGCUGAGUUGUUUUCAAGUGUGUAUCACUCAAGCUGGAACAUCUUGUGAAGGCAGAUGGGUCCAGGCCUCUUACUCCAUUGGGGUCUACAUCGUGUCUGUUCAGUGUCUAUCAGAGAAGAGAAAAGAAGAGAAGAGAAGAGAAAAGAAGAGAAGAGGAGAGGAGAGGAGAGGAGAGGAGAGGAGAGGAGAGGAGAGAAGAGAAGAG
This 256-nucleotide long non-coding RNA is filed under the name Cricetulus griseus (Chinese hamster). RNAcentral describes it as "lncRNA (ENSCGRG00000026000.1)". Lineage: Eukaryota; Metazoa; Chordata; Mammalia; Rodentia; Cricetidae. The record is from RNAcentral.